UACGAGGGGGGCGAGCGUUGUUCGGAAUUAUUGGGCGUAAAGGGUGCGUAGGCGGUUCGGUAAGUUUCGUGUGAAAUCUUCGGGCUCAACUCGAAGUCUGCACGAAAUACUGCCGGGCUUGAGUAUGGGAGAGGUGAGUGGAAUUUCCGGUGUAGCGGUGAAAUGCGUAGAUAUCGGAAGGAACACCUGUGGCGAAAGCGGCUCACUGGACCAUAACUGACGCUGAGGCACGAAAGCUAGGGGAGCAAACAGG
Molecule: ribosomal RNA, 253 nt
Filed under: uncultured bacterium
Lineage: Bacteria
Description: partial 16S ribosomal RNA
Rfam family: Bacterial small subunit ribosomal RNA
Source: RNAcentral